CCGAGUCGCCGACGCGAGCUGUUGCUGGUUCCCAAACGGGAGCAUGUGCACGUUCCGUCAACGCAUCCACUCACACCUGUGCACCCUUUGUAGUUCUAUGGUCUGGGAGGCCCCCUGCGGUCUUCCUCCCGUGGUUCUGCGUUUUUACACAUACGCCGUAGCAAAGUCUUGUGGAAUGUGUGCCGCGUUUAACGCAAUAAAAUA
RNAcentral lists this unclassified non-coding RNA (204 nucleotides) under uncultured fungus. RNAcentral describes it as "sequence contains ITS1, 5.8S rRNA gene". The record is from RNAcentral. Lineage: Eukaryota; Fungi.